GGGCCGCUCUCUGCCAGGCUUAGCUCGGGUCAAGGGCGCAGGGCCGGGAGAGGAUGUUGGCCGCGGCCCCCGACGCCAAGUGGGCACGGAUUGCCACUGGCGACAGGUAGAUUUCUCUCUCUGGGAAAUCUGCCAAACGCUUUUCUAAAGCUCCCAGCGUGUCCUCUGCCUGCAGCCCCUACCCUACGCCCCCCAGCUCAGGCGCCUCGCUCCAGGCAGGUCGCCUCUGGGCCUUUGCACAGAACGUCCGGUUGUCGCUGGCGUCGCCCACUGUGAACUGGCCCUAGAUUCUCCCAGACCCAGAAUAGUGCUCCUGCUUUACGCAUCGCACGCAGCCUCUGCAGUGCAACCCGAGCUGCCUGGGACCUAGGACCGACCCCUCCCUGCGAGGACCCCGGCUCGGCUGGCCUGCACAGGAGCCUGGCUCCGCGCUGGUUACACCAGUCACCGCCAGGCGGCGCGCGCCCCAGCUGACCUCGUUAGCGAUGUCUCUCCUUGUGAUCCCCACUCUGAGCCCCAGCCCAGCGCUGGGCAGUUUGUGCCGACAGCUGGGGGAAGACUUCCAUGUGCUAAUGAACUCCGUAGGUCGUCGGCAGCCAGAGAAACCCACCGCAAAUAACAGCGCAAGCCCGAUUCGCCAGCUGAUGAUGAGGCCCUGGAUGAAAGCUAGGAAUUCGAGCCCCUGCUGCUGGAGGGAGGCUGGCGGCUUCAAGAGCACCUACUGAAAAAUUGGUCGUGUCCAGUGACUGAGCAGUCCUCAUGCUGGCCCGAAGCCCAGCCAGGAUCCUCCUGAGUCCCCGGAGGGAGCAAAGACAGGGCAGCUGAAUGACCACAGAUGAGCCCAGCCCCACAACUUGAAAGCCUUCACAAUGCGUGCUCCUCGGGCCUCCACCAGACGACACCGAGCCUCAGUUUGGACUCACAUGUGUGCGUGCGAACAGUUC
RNAcentral lists this long non-coding RNA (944 nucleotides) under Sus scrofa (pig). RNAcentral describes it as "lncRNA (ENSSSCG00015010913.1)". The record is from RNAcentral. Lineage: Eukaryota; Metazoa; Chordata; Mammalia; Artiodactyla; Suidae.